UCCUACGACAGCUGUCAAUCCUUGGACAGCUCGAAAGAGUUCGGCAAACUCAGCCCUAGUUGGAUGAUCCUAGGUCUCGAGUCUUUCGGUACACUUUAUGGAAGGUCUUCCUCGCGUCAUUCCUACAAAAGAAAGGAAGACAUGAGUUGGUGGUCUAAUUUGAAACAAAGGACUUAUUCUUCCUAAAUAUCCUAAGGGUCUUUCUACCUACAUUCUUAGUUGUAAGGGAUUUG
RNAcentral lists this long non-coding RNA (233 nucleotides) under Carica papaya (papaya). Its description in RNAcentral is "long non-coding RNA (CPAP_LNC006234)". Lineage: Eukaryota; Viridiplantae; Streptophyta; Magnoliopsida; Brassicales; Caricaceae. The record is from RNAcentral.